RNAcentral lists this unclassified non-coding RNA (1715 nucleotides) under uncultured fungus. RNAcentral describes it as "sequence contains 18S rRNA gene, ITS1, 5.8S rRNA gene, ITS2, 28S rRNA gene". The stretch from base 687 to 1715 matches the Rfam family "Eukaryotic large subunit ribosomal RNA", at positions 1 to 961 of the family's 3401-position model. Lineage: Eukaryota; Fungi. The record is from RNAcentral.
GGAAGGAUCAUUAAAAAUGUUUCCACACACACCCCAACCACUUGUGAACCGUUACCCCCACCUGGCGAUGUUCCCGGGACUUAUGCGCGCGUGUGCGCCUUGACACGUUGACGAUCACGAGAGACUCUGGACCGUCACCGGUCUGGUUUCGAUCGCGUCGCCUGCUGUCAAGUCGUGCCGCCGCACCCGGGGCUCGCCACCUGACCACACCAUGACCAACUAAAUUUUACUGAGACUUUAAACGAAAUAAUUUAAAGACAACUUUUAGCAACGGAUCUCUUGGCUCUCGCAACGAUGAAGAACGCAGCGAAAUGCGAUAAGUAAUGUGAAUUGCAGAAACCGUGAAUCAUCAAAUCUUUGAACGCACCUUGCACUGUCUGGAAUUCCGGGCAGUAUGCCUGUUUGAGUAUCAGUUCCACCUCAGCCAACGUCUUCUUUUGAAGGCCGGCUGGACUUGAGCCCUGGCGCGUCGGCACCGACUUCUUUCAUUAGAGGGUCGGUGCCGAUUGCGCGCCGGGCUUGGAAUGUAAAAAGUGCACGCGUUUGCGCUGACAGAACUAGUCUCUGGGCAACCUGGGGUAUAACUGUCUGGCAACGACGCGUCGCGCUCGCAAAAUCACGACGCAAAUGUCGCGGUAUGGUGACGUGUGUUUCGACAUGCGCUACCGUGCCGUGGUCUUUGAUCUUGAUCUCAAAUCAGGCAAGAAUACCCGCUGAACUUAAGCAUAUUAAUAAGCGGAGGAAAAGAAACUAACAAGGAUUCCCCUAGUAACGGCGAGUGAAGCGGGAACAGCUCAAAUUUAAAAUCUCCUCGGAGAAUUGUAGUUUAAAGAAGUGUUUUCGAGAGUACCCUAGGUAAAAGUCCCUUGGAACAGGGCGUCAUAGAGGGUGAGAAUCCCGUACAUGAUCUAGGUAGUGCUCCGCUACGAUACACUUUCAAAGAGUCGGGUUGUUUGGGAAUGCAGCCCAAAGUGGGUGGUAUAUUCCAUCUAAAGCUAAAUAUUGGCGAGAGACCGAUAGCGAACAAGUACCGUGAGGGAAAGAUGAAAAGAACUUUGAAAAGAGAGUUAAACAGUACGUGAAAUUGCUAAAAGGGAAACGAUUGAAAUCAGUGUUGUGCCGGGGAAAUCAGCCGCUCGCAUUCGGGCAGUGCACUUUUCCCGGCGCAAGUCAACAUCAGUUUGGAGUCGCGGAAAAAGCCACAGGAAGGUGGCCGGCCUCUCGGGGUCGGUGUUAAGCCUGUGGGUCUACGCGGGUCUGGACUGAGGCCAGCAGCACUUUUUUGGCGCUCCUCGCGUUCUCUGGCCGUCGUCUCUUGGACUGCAUGCAGACCUGGGGGCGGCGUCUAGUCUACGCGGGGCAGUGCACACCAGUGCUUAGGAUGUUGACGAAAUGGUUUUAAACGACCCGUCUUGAAACACGGACCAAGGAGUCUAACAUAUAUGCGAGUGUUUGGGUGUUAAACUCAUACGCAAAAUGAAAGUGAACGCAGGUGGGAUCCGCAAGGAGCACCAUCGACCGAUCUGGAUAUUUAUUGAUAGAUUUGAGUAAGAGCAUAUCUGUUGGGACCCGAAAGAUGGUGAACUAUGCCUGAAUAGGGUGAAGCCAGAGGAAACUCUGGUGGAGGCUCGUAGCGAUUCUGACGUGCAAAUCGAUCGUCAAAUUUGGGCAUAGGGGCGAAAGACUAAUCGAACCAUCUAGUAGCUGGUUCCCUC